Long non-coding RNA from Papio anubis (olive baboon), 1617 nucleotides. The record is from Ensembl. Lineage: Eukaryota; Metazoa; Chordata; Mammalia; Primates; Cercopithecidae.
GGCGUGGAUAGUUAAUUUCUGGAAUGACUGAAGUAAAUAUAAUCAGCUCACUUUAAAAUGAAUUUUUUCAGUGUAAAGUAGCUCUUUGGAAAUUGAGAUGAAGUUUGAUCAGAAAGUAAGGCAGAAGGUAUGUGAAAUAGUAGAAACUGUAGAUGUGAGUAGAAAAAAGUGGGUGGCAAGGGAUAAGGAAGCAUCUAGGAGGUCCGCCCAGAAUUCUGAGAAAGAGACCAGACCAUAAUAAAACGGAACAUAGAGAAAGGAGGACCUCAGAGCACAAAAAAUGCAAUUUUAAUUUGAUUUCAAGGCAACCUGAGUGUUACUGCAACAUCGGAAAAAAGAACAAACUUGGUCUUACAAACAUAAAAAAAAGUGCUUAGUCUUGAGAUUUCUCUGGCUGUGUAAGUGAAGUCCUCUGCGUUCUCAUUUAUUUCACCUUUUUUUUUUUUUUUUUUUGAGUGGAUUUCUGGUUGUGAUACUGAACUGUGGAUAUUUGACCUAAAUAAAGUGCCAAUUUGGAAAAGAAACAUGAGGAAAAGGGAGAAAUGACAGUCACAAAUGAGAGUGUGCAAGUGCAGUGCUCGGGCAAGCAGUUCAGUCUCUGCUUUAACUGAACUGUUACGGAAAGAGACGCCCUUUCACGACUUUCCAGUGCAUUAUUUUAAACCACAUAUAUUAUUAAUAUAUGGUCAGUCAUGGAUUCUUCAAGAAAAUGUUUUGAAACUCUAACAUCUUAAACUUUGGCUUAUAUUGUUGUGAAGGUAUUUAUUCUUUCUUAUUUUUCUUGAAAGCUUAGAGUUACUAAUUGUUUUGUCAUCAAAUUUUCUGAUUAUAAAUAUCAAGGAGUCCCACCGUACACUACAGUUUCGUGGCAUGGAUUGUAUUUUCCUUGUAAUUCGAAGCUUGUAAAUCACAAGGGCGUCAAAGGCCAUGAGCUCUAUGAACACCUUCGGACGACCACCAGAUUUGGUUGCUACCAUUGCUUUCAAAAUAAAAGAUUCAAAACCAACCGAAAAGAGACCUGGUUCGCCCACAAACGAUUAAGGAACACUUCUACCUACAGCCCGCUGCCGAUCCACAGGCACUAUGAAAGCUUUUCUGCUGGAAUACUUUCGCCUGUCUGUUGCAGAAGAAACCAUCACUGCUUAAUAGGAAAGUAGUACUUCUGUUAUGGUUGAGUUUAAAAUGUGCUUUUUAGAGGCAUCAUCUCUCAGAGACCAACUCAUGCAUGUGUUCAGAGAGGGUCUUAAUUGGUGCAUGAUUUACUACAUGAAGCAAAACUUUGCUUGGACAGGCUGAAAGACUAUGGUGAGGAAGAGCCCUUUAUACAGUUUUAUAGGCCUGUCUUCUCACUGGGAACAUAUAUUUACUAAUUGUAUAAUUGGUGGCACAGUUCUUCCAUCAUAAACAUUGUUAUCAGUUAAUUAAACUUGAAAUGCAGCUUUGUUCCACAACAUGUUUUGUCAGAUUGUUUUCCUUAUUUAUUUAUCAUCAUAAAAUUUUACUUGGUGACUGGCAGCUUCUCAGCCCUCCAAUAAUAAUAUAAAUCAAAACAUAAGAUUUUAGUCUUCAUGCAAUUUCCUUUUGGUCUGAAAAUAUGAAACCAGAUGUUUUUGGCAU